This 293-nucleotide ribosomal RNA is filed under the name uncultured bacterium. Its description in RNAcentral is "partial 16S ribosomal RNA". It matches the Rfam family "Archaeal small subunit ribosomal RNA", at positions 455 to 747 of the family's 1478-position model. The record is from RNAcentral.
GUGCCAGCCGCCGCGGUAAUACCGGCAGCCCGAGUGAUGGCCGAUCUUAUUGGGCCUAAAGCGUCCGUAGCUGGCUGCGCAAGUCCGUCGGGAAAUCCACUCGCCCAACGAGUGGGCGUCCGACGGGAACUGCACAGCUUGGGACCGGAAGGCUCGAAGGGUACGUCCGGGGUAGGAGUGAAAUCCCGUAAUCCUGGACGGACCACCGGUGGCGAAAGCGCCUCGAGAAGACGGACCCGACGGUGAGGAACGAAAGCCAGGGUCUCGAACCGGAUUAGAUACCCUAGUAGUCC